RNAcentral lists this ribosomal RNA (497 nucleotides) under uncultured bacterium. RNAcentral's name for it is "partial 16S ribosomal RNA". It matches the Rfam family "Bacterial small subunit ribosomal RNA", at positions 28 to 507 of the family's 1533-position model. The record is from RNAcentral.
GAUGAACGCUGGCGGCGUGCCUAAUACAUGCAAGUCGAGCGAACAGACGAGGAGCUUGCUCCUCUGACGUUAGCGGCGGACGGGUGAGUAACACGUGGAUAACCUACCUAUAAGACUGGGAUAACUUCGGGAAACCGGAGCUAAUACCGGAUAAUAUAUUGAACCGCAUGGUUCAAUAGUGAAAGACGGUUUUGCUGUCACUUAUAGAUGGAUCCGCGCCUCAUUAGCUAGUUGGUAAGGUAACGGCUUACCAAGGCAACGAUGCGUAGCCGACCUGAGAGGGUGAUCGGCCACACUGGAACUGAGCCACGGUCCAGACUCCUACGGGAGGCAGCAGUAGGGAAUCUUCCGCAAUGGGCGAAAGCCUGACGGAGCAACGCCGCGUGAGUGAUGAAGGUCUUCGGAUCGUAAAACUCUGUUAUUAGGGAAGAACAAAUGUGUAAGUAACUAUGCACGUCUUGACGGUACCUAAUCAGAAAGCCACGGCUAACUACGUG